RNAcentral lists this long non-coding RNA (393 nucleotides) under Chlamydomonas reinhardtii. RNAcentral describes it as "long non-coding RNA (CREI_LNC000961)". Lineage: Eukaryota; Viridiplantae; Chlorophyta; Chlorophyceae; Chlamydomonadales; Chlamydomonadaceae. The record is from RNAcentral.
CCACAGCCUCCAGGUCGAAGCACUUGAUACAUAUAGCACUUGAUAAAAAGCAAUACAUGAAGUCGAAGUCAACAUUCCAGUUAUCAACUCCAAUCACAGGUGCUCAGCGCCCUCUCGCUGUUCGUCAAAUAUAUGCACGCGAUAGCGACACUUGCCCCGCAGAUAUACAGCGACCCCGGCUCGCGUCUGAGGAUUUGCCCCUACCUAUUUGCAUAUUUGCCCUCCGGGUUCCAUCAAUCAGCGCAACCACAUCAUCAAUCAUCACCGCCGCCGUCGGCUGCCGCCAGCUCCCUUGCUCGCCGGCUUCGCGCCCGCCCCCGCCGCGUCGCCGCCGCCUCCUGCCGGCGCUGGCGGCCCGCCCGUCACCCCCUCCAGCUGGUCGUCCAUCUCGCU